GUUCUUUUAGCUUAAGUUUUAAAGCAUAAUAUUGAAAAUAUUAAGAUAUUUUAUCUGUUAAAUUAAGAACA
This 71-nucleotide transfer RNA is filed under the name Franklinothrips vespiformis. RNAcentral describes it as "tRNA-Phe". It matches the Rfam family "tRNA". From Rfam's summary of the family: Transfer RNA (tRNA) molecules are approximately 80 nucleotides in length. Lineage: Eukaryota; Metazoa; Arthropoda; Insecta; Thysanoptera; Aeolothripidae. The record is from RNAcentral.